AUACGUAGGUGGCAAGCGUUAUCCGGAUUUACUGGGUGUAAAGGGCGUGUAGGCGGGACUGCAAGUCAGAUGUGAAAACUAUGAGCUCAACUCAUAGCCUGCCUUUGAAACUGUAGUUCUUGAGUGUUGGAGAGGCAAUCGGAAUUCCGUGUGUAGCGGUGAAAUGCGUAGAUAUACGGAGGAAGACCAGUGGCGAAGGCGGAUUGUUGCACAGUAACUGACGCUGAGGCGCGAAAGCGUGGGGAGCAAACAGGAUUAGAUGCCAUGGUAGUCCACGCCGUAAACGAUGGAUACUAGGUGUGGGGGGUCUGACCCCCUCCGUGCCGCAGCUAACGCAAUAAGUAACCCACCUGGGGAGUACGAUCGCAAGGUUGAAACUCAAAUGAAUUGACGGGG
RNAcentral lists this ribosomal RNA (396 nucleotides) under uncultured bacterium. RNAcentral's name for it is "partial 16S ribosomal RNA". It matches the Rfam family "Bacterial small subunit ribosomal RNA", at positions 523 to 918 of the family's 1533-position model. The record is from RNAcentral.